CUCUUUGCAGUCAGACAGCUUCCUGUUUAAGUUCUUGCUCCCUUCUGCUUUCAACAGCUUCCAGAGGCUCCGGCUGAGCCUCUCGCAGUAUUUGUGAGCCUUGUACAGGAUCCCACCUGAGGCUGAUCCUGCUCUAGGUCUUUUAAGGAAACCGUUCAUCUCCCACCAGUUUUCAGCUGGAAGAAAAAAAAAAGCUACCGUCGCCGUCAGUCUGUAACCACGCCCACAGGAAUGACAUCCCUCGGAGGCCACGCCCCGCUCACCUGUCCGCCUCGUUCUGCGAGAGAGAGGGGAGCUGGGUGAGUUUGCUCCGCGUCUUUAGUUUUAUUUUUAUUUUAUUGUAAAUAAAAUUUAAC
Molecule: long non-coding RNA, 356 nt
Filed under: Lepisosteus oculatus (spotted gar)
Lineage: Eukaryota; Metazoa; Chordata; Actinopteri; Semionotiformes; Lepisosteidae
Description: lncRNA (ENSLOCG00000022610.1)
Source: RNAcentral